GCAGCCGGGUUCGAAAUUUCAAUACUUUUAACCGAUUUCGUUAAAUUUGAUUUUUUUUUGGAAAAGUAUUUAAAUUUCGAACCCGGCUGC
This 90-nucleotide microRNA precursor is filed under the name Phlebotomus papatasi. RNAcentral describes it as "microRNA mir-927". The record is from RNAcentral. Lineage: Eukaryota; Metazoa; Arthropoda; Insecta; Diptera; Psychodidae.